Molecule: non-coding RNA, 19 nt
Filed under: Arabidopsis thaliana (thale cress)
Lineage: Eukaryota; Viridiplantae; Streptophyta; Magnoliopsida; Brassicales; Brassicaceae
Source: RNAcentral
GGAGGGCUAAUGUUGUUGG